Molecule: ribosomal RNA, 820 nt
Filed under: uncultured bacterium
Lineage: Bacteria
Description: bacterial SSU rRNA
Rfam family: Bacterial small subunit ribosomal RNA
Source: RNAcentral
GUCGAGGGGCAUCCGGGCUAGGAGCUAUCCUUGCCGCCGGCGACCGGCGCACGGGUGAGUAACGCGUAUGCGACCUGCCCGUUGCAGGGGGAUAAUCGGGAGAAAUCCCGUCUAAUACCGCGUAACGCCGCGGGGCUGCAUGGCCCUGCGGCCAAAGGGAGCGAUUCCGGCAACGGAUGGGCAUGCGUGACAUUAGCUAGUUGGCGGGGCAACGGCCCACCAAGGCGACGAUGUCUAGGGGUUCUGAGAGGAAGGUCCCCCACACUGGUACUGAGACACGGACCAGACUCCUACGGGAGGCAGCAGUGAGGAAUAUUGGUCAAUGGGCGCGAGCCUGAACCAGCCAAGUCGCGUGAGGGAUGACGGCCCUAUGGGUUGUAAACCUCUUUUGUCGGAGAACAAAACCCGGGACGUGUCCCGGACUGCGUGUAUCCGAAGAAAAAGCACCGGCUAACUCCGUGCCAGCAGCCGCGGUAAUACGGAGGAUGCGAGCGUUAUCCGGAUUUAUUGGGUUUAAAGGGUGCGCAGGCGGAAGAUCAAGUCAGCGGUAAAAUUGAGAGGCUCAACCUCUUCGAGCCGUUGAAACUGGUUUUCUUGAGUGAGCGAGAAGUAUGCGGAAUGCGUGGUGUAGCGGUGAAAUGCAUAGAUAUCACGCAGAACUCCGAUUGCGAAGGCAGCAUACCGGCGCUCAACUGACGCUCAUGCACGAAAGUGUGGGUAUCGAACAGGAUUAGAUACCCUGGUAGUCCACACAGUAAACGAUGAAUACUAAUUGUUCGGGGAGAAUGAUCCCUGAGUGAUACAGCGAAAGCGUUAAGUA